CCGACGGGUGAGUAACGCGUAUGCAACUUGCCUAUCAGGAGGGGAUAACCCGGCGAAAGUCGGACUAAUACCGCAUGAAGCAGGGGCCCCGCAUGGGGAUAUUUGCUAAAGAUUCAUCGCUGAUAGAUAGGCAUGCGCUCCAUUAGGCAGUUGGCGGGGUAACGGCCCACCAAACCGACGAUGGAUAGGGGUCCUGAGAGGAAGGUCCCCCACAUUGGUACUGAGACACGGACCAA
This 236-nucleotide ribosomal RNA is filed under the name uncultured bacterium. Its description in RNAcentral is "partial 16S ribosomal RNA". It matches the Rfam family "Bacterial small subunit ribosomal RNA", at positions 102 to 334 of the family's 1533-position model. The record is from RNAcentral.